Molecule: ribosomal RNA, 253 nt
Filed under: uncultured bacterium
Lineage: Bacteria
Description: partial 16S ribosomal RNA
Rfam family: Bacterial small subunit ribosomal RNA
Source: RNAcentral
UACGUAGGGUGCGAGCGUUAAUCGGAAUUACUGGGCGUAAAGUGUGCGCAGGCGGCGUCGCAAGUCGAGUGUGAAAGCCCCGAGCUUAACUUGGGAAUUGCGCUCGAAACUACGGCGCUGGAGUAUGGCAGAGGAAGGUGGAAUUCCACGUGUAGCGGUGAAAUGCGUAGAGAUGUGGAGGAACACCGAUGGCGAAGGCAGCCUUCUGGGCCAAUACUGACGCUCAUGCACGAAAGCGUGGGGAGCAAACGGG